Molecule: ribosomal RNA, 450 nt
Filed under: uncultured bacterium
Lineage: Bacteria
Description: partial 16S ribosomal RNA
Rfam family: Bacterial small subunit ribosomal RNA
Source: RNAcentral
GUGGGGAAUAUUGGACAAUGGGCGAAAGCCUGAUCCAGCCAUGCCGCGUGUGUGAAGAAGGUCUUCGGAUUGUAAAGCACUUUAAGUUGGGAGGAAGGGCAGUAAGUUAAUACCUUGCUGUUUUGACGUUACCGACAGAAUAAGCACCGGCUAACUUCGUGUCAGCAGCCGCGGUAAUACGAAGGGUGCAAGCGUUAAUCGGAAUUACUGGGCGUAAAGCGCGCGUAGGUGGUUUUGUAAGUUGGAGGUGAAAUCCCCGGGCUCAACCUGGGAACUGCCUCCAAAACUGCAUGACUAGAGUACGGUAGAGGGUAGUGGAAUUUCCUGUGUAGCGGUGAAAUGCGUAGAUAUAGGAAGGAACACCAGUGGCGAAGGCGACUACCUGGACUGAUACUGACACUGAGGUGCGAAAGCGUGGGGAGCAAACAGGAUUAGAAACCCUUGUAGUCC